This 265-nucleotide ribosomal RNA is filed under the name Geotrichum bryndzae. Its description in RNAcentral is "partial 28S ribosomal RNA". It matches the Rfam family "Eukaryotic large subunit ribosomal RNA", at positions 1 to 277 of the family's 3401-position model. The record is from RNAcentral. Lineage: Eukaryota; Fungi; Ascomycota; Dipodascomycetes; Dipodascales; Dipodascaceae.
AUUCAACCUCAGAUCAAGUAGGAUUACCCGCUGAACUUAAGCAUAUCAAUAAGCGGAGGAAAAGAAACCAACAGGGAUUGCCUUAGUAACGGCGAGUGAAGCGGCAAAAGCUCAAAUUUGAAAUCGGCCUCCAGGUCGAGUUGUAAUUUGUAGAUUGUAUCUUGAGAGCGGAUUAAAGUCUGUUGGAACACAGCGCCUUAGAGGGUGACAGCCCCGUAAAAUCUAUUCUCAUUGUAAGAUACUUUCGAAGAGUCGAGUUGUUUGG